AGUGGUGUCGAGAACUAUAUGCUGCAUGUGCGUAUACUUGCCGUAAGGACUUUGCAUUUCAACGAAGGACAGCCUAAAGCAGAGUGAAGAGCCUUUAUUAUUGCCUUUCAUCUAACAAAUUGGCGUCAGGAUCACCGAUGACUGAUGCCUGACAGUGCAUCAUCACUUUAAUGGUGGCCAUCGAGUGGCAUCCAGUAAAAAUAUUUCAAGCCAUUAACACAUCAUCAAACAACUAAACACAAGUCUGAGAAAAGUGACUGCUGCAAUCAUAAAGGUCACCCCAAUCUACAUUCUGUAUGGCUUCCCUAGAGCAAAACAAAUUUGAUGGACAUGCUGAUCGAAAGGUUGAAACAUGCCCUACAUAAAAUUUAAAAUUCAGGAAGCUCCCAUGAAAGUUAUUAUCUGAGCAUAAUAUAUACAGCUUCGAGGGAUUGAACGAAGCCAGAUAUAACAUGAAAGGUGAUUCGGCCAUAACCCCUUGAGGAUGAUACAGCAGACGUUGACAAACCUUGAAGUUGUCCUGAACAAGAGGUCAAAAUAUACCAAAAACCUCGUCUAUACUGGAAUGUUGGAUGGAAUAUAACGGUACUCGGCUGGCAUGAAGGCCAUAAAUCAAAACCAGUUUCCUACAGCGUUUUUACACAAAACCACUUUCAGACUUAAAAUGGGCACACCACUUGAAUCGUGAACAGGCUGUCUACCUACUCCUGUAAAGCUGCCAUCUGGCGACCAGGUAGUAAAGUGCAAAAGAAAUUUGAAGAGAACGAGACAAAUCAAUACUUAAAAAAAUAAAAAAAUAAUAAUAAUAAAAAAAAAAUACAGAAUACAAAGUACCUCAGUUGAUGUCAAGAUUAUUUGAGAGUAUUUUUUAUGGCGGAAGGGAAGAUGCACAUGGGCGAAUCUUACAUAAGAGUGAUAGGUACUACGACAUUCACGAGGCCAACCAACGAAAAUCUACGUAAGUCAAUAAUCCCGUUAGAAAUUCCUGAGCGUGAGUCAAAGUUUUCAUCCAAUUUGUCCGUCCUCAAAUCUCUUGACAUGUUCAUAGCGUGGAAUUUUUAUCACAUCUUCUACAGGAAUUAGAGCGAAAUGGAUUUCAUAUGUAUUGAAUGGAGAUAGUGGGUCCGUUAUAUGCAAUAAAAAAAUUGUAUACAAACAUCAUUCUGUACAAUAUAAACUGUCAAACAUAAGGGGGAUAAAAAGGACAUCCGGGAAAACAAAACAAAAAAAUCUGUCAAAGGAAAAUGUCUGAUUUCUUUUCUGUUUAUCAUUUGGGUUGAUUUUUUGUUGUUAUUGCAUAAACGAAUAAAGAGAAGGAAAAAAAAAAGCUAGAGGCGUUGAACGGAAGUAUGAAAUUGUUUUAA
Long non-coding RNA from Daphnia magna, 1364 nucleotides. RefSeq lists it as uncharacterized. The transcript has 2 exons. The record is from RefSeq and is a predicted model, not a curated record. Lineage: Eukaryota; Metazoa; Arthropoda; Branchiopoda; Diplostraca; Daphniidae.